CUGGGUUACAACUGCAUGCAGCUCUUAAGGACCCUCUCAAUGCACUUUUACAGGCAUGUUCAUCCAGGAUCCAUAACCCUGAUCCUGAUCCAAGACACUCCUCAGCUUCCAACCAGCCUCCUACCCUACUUCCUAGCAAUAACCGCCACUCAAGAAGAUGACUCAACCCGCAGACCCAGAAACCACGGCCCAAUUACAGCAUUCAGAAUGGCUCAUGUGGAAUGGCUCUCAGCUCCUCUCCGAUUGGAUCCUGCCUCUCCGGGCUAAAUGCAAGUUAACUGAUUCCUAAAAAUACCCCCUGACGUGAGUCAUCCUCUUGCAAGAGCCCUGGGGAAUGUUUUCCAAAGAAACGGUGAGGCCCAGCGAAGAGGGGGUUUCUCCCCGGUGAGUCAUGUCAGUGGUGUGCAGAGCUGUGUCUCCCCUGUUCCCAGGCUCUGGGCUGGGCCGCCGGGUGAUUUGCUGAAAUGCAAGCCUGGCAGCAGUUCCAACUCCUCCUCCCACACCCGUUCCCAAAAUGAAAUGAACCUGGGCUCAAGGAGAGGUGCAGGUCAACAGGAUUCCCUUUCUCUCCACGAAGAACAGCAGGAAACCCGGGGCCAGCCGUGCAGCUCUGGGCUGGGUCAGGAAGCCUGUUCUUACUGCGUCCCUUUCCCCUAUGGCAACACUGAGGGCUAAGAACCAGCUGGCCCCCACCCCAUCCAGUCGAUGAAUGGAGAGGGCGCUGGGGCUGUAGACCCUGCACCGCUCUUACAGACCCUGAGGUGGGCAGAGUCUGUGAAGCCAGGACCCCUCUCUGAGCGAAGCAGCUGAUCCUCCCAGGGCUUGAGGCUCUGCCCUUGCCAGCAACUGCUGCUCCUUGCUAGCGGGUCCUAGAAUGCACAUGAAAUCAAAAACAUUCCCUCAGAGUGGGUUUUCAGAUGUAAAAAUGUGUCCUGUGGUGGCAAAGAACUUUAUAACCUUCCUGAAACGAGGCAGCAUGAAACAUCAAUGACCUCACAAGGACACUGAUGUUCAGAUAGUACGAGUGCCUCUGCGUGUUGCUGCUACACCAUCUUCACAGCAAGCGUGGAGACACCCCGUGCCUGCGCUCUCCCGCUGGCCCCGAGGCCACUCUUAAGGGGCACGUGCAGGGUGCCACAGCCGCUGCGCUCCAAGUCAAGAUGCGAUGCCUCAGCUGGACCACAGACAGGAUGAGGAUGGAGCUCAGCUGUGUGUGGAUGCAGCUGAGGACAGCCGGAACU
Molecule: long non-coding RNA, 1241 nt
Filed under: Bos indicus x Bos taurus (hybrid cattle)
Lineage: Eukaryota; Metazoa; Chordata; Mammalia; Artiodactyla; Bovidae
Description: lncRNA (ENSBIXG00005001279.1)
Source: RNAcentral